GUAGGUGGCAAGCGUUGUCCGGAAUUAUUGGGCGUGAAGCGCGCGCAGGCGGUUCUUUAAGUCUGAUGUGAAAGCCCACGGCUCAACCGUGGAGGGUCAUUGGAAACUGGAGAACUUGAGUACAGAAGAGGAAAGCGGAAUUCCACGUGUAGCGGUGAAAUGCGUAGAGAUGUGGAGGAACACCAGUGGCGAAGGCGGCUUUCUGGUCUGUAACUGACGCUGAGGCGCGAAAGCGUGGGGGGGAGCAAACAGGAUUAGAUACCCUGGUAGUCCACGCCGUAAACGAUGAGUGCUAAGUGUUAGGGGGUUUCCGCCCCCCCCCUUAGUGCUGCAGCUAACGCAUUAAGCACUCCGCCCUGGGGAGUACGGCCGCAAGGCUG
This 380-nucleotide ribosomal RNA is filed under the name uncultured organism. RNAcentral's name for it is "partial 16S ribosomal RNA". It matches the Rfam family "Bacterial small subunit ribosomal RNA", at positions 527 to 896 of the family's 1533-position model. The record is from RNAcentral.